This 468-nucleotide ribosomal RNA is filed under the name uncultured bacterium. RNAcentral describes it as "partial 16S ribosomal RNA". It matches the Rfam family "Bacterial small subunit ribosomal RNA", at positions 28 to 507 of the family's 1533-position model. The record is from RNAcentral.
GACGAACGCUGGCGGCGUGCUUAACACAUGCAAGUCGAACGGAAAGGCCCUGCUUUUGUGGGGUGCUCGAGUGGCGAACGGGUGAGUAACACGUGAGUAACCUGCCCUUGACUUUGGGAUAACUUCAGGAAACUGGGGCUAAUACCGGAUAGGAGCUCCUGCUGCAUGGUGGGGGUUGGAAAGUUUCGGCGGUUGGGGAUGGACUCGCGGCUUAUCAGCUUGUUGGUGGGGUAGUGGCUUACCAAGGCUUUGACGGGUAGCCGGCCUGGGAGGGUGACCGGCCACAUUGGGACUGAGGUACGGCCCAGACGCCUACGGGAGGCAGCAGUGGGGAAUAUUGCACAAUGGGCGGAAGCCUGAUGCAGCAACGCCGCGUGCGGGAUGACGGCCUUCGGGUUGGAAACCGCUUUCGCCUGUGACGAAGCGUGAGUGACGGUAAUGGGUAAAGAAGCACCGGCUAACUACGUG